This 578-nucleotide ribosomal RNA is filed under the name uncultured Serratia sp. RNAcentral's name for it is "bacterial SSU rRNA". It matches the Rfam family "Bacterial small subunit ribosomal RNA", at positions 102 to 676 of the family's 1533-position model. Lineage: Bacteria; Pseudomonadati; Pseudomonadota; Gammaproteobacteria; Enterobacterales; Yersiniaceae. The record is from RNAcentral.
ACGGGUGAGUAAUGUCUGGGAAACUGCCUGAUGGAGGGGGAUAACUACUGGAAACGGUAGCUAAUACCGCAUAACGUCGCAAGACCAAAGAGGGGGACCUUCGGGCCUCUUGCCAUCAGAUGUGCCCAGAUGGGAUUAGCUAGUAGGUGGGGUAAUGGCUCACCUAGGCGACGAUCCCUAGCUGGUCUGAGAGGAUGACCAGCCACACUGGAACUGAGACACGGUCCAGACUCCUACGGGAGGCAGCAGUGGGGAAUAUUGCACAAUGGGCGCAAGCCUGAUGCAGCCAUGCCGCGUGUGUGAAGAAGGCCUUCGGGUUGUAAAGCACUUUCAGCGAGGAGGAAGGUGGUGAACUUAAUACGUUCAUCAAUUGACGUUACUCGCAGAAGAAGCACCGGCUAACUCCGUGCCAGCAGCCGCGGUAAUACGGAGGGUGCAAGCGUUAAUCGGAAUUACUGGGCGUAAAGCGCACGCAGGCGGUUUGUUAAGUCAGAUGUGAAAUCCCCGGGCUCAACCUGGGAACUGCAUUUGAAACUGGCAAGCUAGAGUCUCGUAGAGGGGGGUAGAAUUCCAGGUGU